RNAcentral lists this unclassified non-coding RNA (225 nucleotides) under uncultured fungus. RNAcentral's name for it is "sequence contains ITS1". Lineage: Eukaryota; Fungi. The record is from RNAcentral.
GUAUUUUUAAUAGAGGUCUUUCGACCCAAUAAACAUUCAAGGUAUAUAAGAGUUUAUAAUAGAGAAGACACUAUAUCCAGUAAAGGAAUAGGAAUUCUCUCAAUGUGCACAGGUGUUGAAGGGAUUAAGGAAAGGUAGACGUGCACAAGUCCCUUUAGAAGGGCAGCACAGUAAACCUAACCAAUAAUUUCAUUAAUGAUCCUUCCGCAGGUUCACCUACGGAAA